AACGAACGCUGGCGGCAUGCCUAACACAUGCAAGUCGAACGAGACCUUCGGGUCUAGUGGCGCACGGGUGCGUAACGCGUGGGAACCCGCCCUUAGGUUCGGAAUAACUCCCCGAAAGGGGUGCUAAUACCGGAUAAUGUCUUCGGACCAAAGAUUUAUCGCCUUUGGAUGGGCCCGCGUUGGAUUAGCUAGUUGGUAGGGUAAAAGCCUACCAAGGCGACGAUCCAUAGCUGGUCUGAGAGGAUGAUCAGCCACACUGGGACUGAGACACGGCCCAGACUCCUACGGGAGGCAGCAGUGGGGAAUAUUAGGCGAUGAGCGAAAGCCUGGUCCAGCAAUGCCGCGUGAGUGAUGAAGGCCUUAGGGUUGUAAAGCUCUUUUACCCGAGAUGAUAAUGACAGUACCGGGAGAAUAAGCUCCGGCUAACUCCGUG
RNAcentral lists this ribosomal RNA (433 nucleotides) under uncultured bacterium. Its description in RNAcentral is "partial 16S ribosomal RNA". It matches the Rfam family "Bacterial small subunit ribosomal RNA", at positions 29 to 507 of the family's 1533-position model. The record is from RNAcentral.